GACGAACGCUGGCGGCGUGCUUAACACAUGCAAGUCGAACGGAAAGGCCCUUCGGGGUACUCGAGUGGCGAACGGGUGAGUAACACGUGGGUGAUCUGCCCUGCACUUUGGGAUAAGCCUGGGAAACUGGGUCUAAUACCGAAUAGGACCACGCGCUUCAUGGUGUGUGGUGGAAAGCUUUAGCGGUGUGGGAUGGGCCCGCGGCCUAUCAGCUUGUUGGUGGGGUAAUGGCCUACCAAGGCGACGACGGGUAGCCGGCCUGAGAGGGUGACCGGCCACACUGGGACUGAGAUACGGCCCAGACUCCUACGGGAGGCAGCAGUGGGGAAUAUUGCACAAUGGGCGCAAGCCUGAUGCAGCGACGCCGCGUGAGGGAUGACGGCCUUCGGGUUGUAAACCUCUUUCAAUAGGGACGAAGCGUGAGUGACGGUACCUAUAGAAGAAGCACCGGCCAACUACGUGCCAGCAGCCGCCGUAAAAC
RNAcentral lists this ribosomal RNA (481 nucleotides) under uncultured bacterium. RNAcentral describes it as "bacterial SSU rRNA". It matches the Rfam family "Bacterial small subunit ribosomal RNA", at positions 28 to 526 of the family's 1533-position model. The record is from RNAcentral.